GGGUCGUUAGCUCAGUUGGUAGAGCAGUUGACUUUUAAUCAAUUGGUCGCAGGUUCGAGCCG
Molecule: transfer RNA, 62 nt
Filed under: Serratia fonticola
Lineage: Bacteria; Pseudomonadati; Pseudomonadota; Gammaproteobacteria; Enterobacterales; Yersiniaceae
Rfam family: tRNA
About the family: Transfer RNA (tRNA) molecules are approximately 80 nucleotides in length. Their secondary structure includes four short double-helical elements and three loops (D, anti-codon, and T loops).
Source: Rfam by way of RNAcentral